GAGGCGAACCGGGGGAACUGAAACAUCUAAGUACCCCGAGGAAAAGAAAUCAACCGAGAUUCCGAAAGUAGCGGCGAGCGAAAUUGGACUAGCCCUUAAGCUUUACACGCGUUAGACGAACGGUCUGGAAAGUCCGACGAUACAGGGUGAUAGUCCCGUAGUUGACGACGUGUGUUCAGUGAAAUCGAGUAGGGCGGGACACGUGAUAUCCUGUCUGAAUAUGGGGGGACCAUCCUCCAAGGCUAAAUACUACUGACUGACCGAUAGUGAACCAGUACCGUGAGGGAAAGGCGAAAAGAACCCCUGUGAGGGGAGUGAAAUAGAACCUGAAACCGUGUACGUACAAGCAGUAGGAGCAGGCUUGUCCUGUGACUGCGUACCUUUUGUAUAAUGGGUCAGCGACUUAUAUUCAGUGGCAAGGUUAACCAUCUAGGGGAGCCGUAGGGAAACCGAGUCUUAACUGGGCGUUCAGUCUCUGGAUAUAGACCCGAAACCAGGUGAUCUAGCCAUGGGCAGGUUGAAGGUUGAGUAACAUCAACUGGAGGACCGAACCGACUAAUGUUGAAAAAUUAGCGGAUGACUUGUGGCUAGGGGUGAAAGGCCAAUCAAACCUGGAGAUAGCUGGUUCUCCCCGAAAGCUAUUUAGGUAGCGCCUCGGACGAAUACUACUGGGGGUAGAGCACUGUUAAGGCUAGGGGGUCAUCCCGACUUACCAACCCUUUGCAAACUCCGAAUACCAGUAAGUACUAUCCGGGAGACACACGGCGGGUGCUAACGUCCGUCG
Molecule: ribosomal RNA, 784 nt
Filed under: Vibrio parahaemolyticus
Lineage: Bacteria; Pseudomonadati; Pseudomonadota; Gammaproteobacteria; Vibrionales; Vibrionaceae
Description: partial 23S ribosomal RNA
Rfam family: Bacterial large subunit ribosomal RNA
Source: RNAcentral